ACAAAUUCACGGGAUAUUCACAAAGAGAUCAACGAUCUUCAAAGUCUCAAUAAAUUCAUGGGACGAUCUUCAAAGUCCCAAUAAAUGUCCCAAUAAAUUCAUGGGACGAUCUUCAAAGUUCCAAUAAAUUCAUGGGAUAUUUAUAUAGAUCAAAAUCCUUUCUUCUUGGUAAUCAAAUAAAUCAAGAAGAUCCACAAAACCUACUUUCAUGGAGAUCAAAUCCAAAUAUACCUACAUUCAAGAAAUACGCCAAUAACGACCCUCGAAUUACGGAGAAAUCCAUAUCAAAUCCUACGUUCGAGAAAUACGCUACGACAACCCUCAAAUUAUGGAGAAAAUCAAGAGAGAAGAAUCAAGGGAGGAACAGAUUUGUACCCGCAUCGUUUAUCAAUAAAAAAAUUGUUGUUUCUU
RNAcentral lists this long non-coding RNA (411 nucleotides) under Capsicum annuum. RNAcentral describes it as "long non-coding RNA (CANN_LNC010290)". The record is from RNAcentral. Lineage: Eukaryota; Viridiplantae; Streptophyta; Magnoliopsida; Solanales; Solanaceae.